AACCGCAGUCUGUUUGUUCAGACGCAUAGUCUCAAGUUUGCAGCAGUUUCCAGUUCUUUAACCGACUAACUAUCAACCAAAAUGCCUGCCCCUUCAGAACAGUGCAAAGAUUCCUGCAAGGAUGCUGACUGCUGCAAAGACAAUAACUGCGAGACCUCUUGCAAGGAUUGCUCUUCUGAAGGUGGCUGCUGCUAAUUCGUACAAUGGUCGCGUACCUGCGCACACUAUCUUAACUACUAUGAUGUGAUAUUAUUGUACUUUAUUUUUCGAUCACAUACAAUAAAA
This is a long non-coding RNA of Spodoptera litura, 285 nucleotides long. RefSeq lists it as uncharacterized. The record is from RefSeq and is a predicted model, not a curated record. Lineage: Eukaryota; Metazoa; Arthropoda; Insecta; Lepidoptera; Noctuidae.